GAUGAACGCUGGCGGCGUGCCUAAUACAUGCAAGUCGAGCGAAUGGAUUAAGAGCUUGCUCUUAUGAAGUUAGCGGCGGACGGGUGAGUAACACGUGGGUAACCUGCCCAUAAGACUGGGAUAACUCCGGGAAACCGGGGCUAAUACCGGAUAACAUUUUGAACCGCAUGGUUCGAAAUUGAAAGGCGGCUUCGGCUGUCACUUAUGGAUGGACCCGCGUCGCAUUAGCUAGUUGGUGAGGUAACGGCUCACCAAGGCAACGAUGCGUAGCCGACAUGAGAGGGUGAUCGGCCACACUGGUACUGAGACACGGCGCAGAGUCCUACGGGAGGCAGCAGUAGGUCGUCGUCCGCAAUGGACGAAAGUCUGACGGAGCAACGCCGCGUGAGUGAUGAAGGCUUUCGGGUCGUAAAACUCUGUUGUUAGGGAAGAACAAGUGCUAGUUGAAUAAGCUGGCACCUUGACGGUACCUAACCAGAAAGCCACGGCUAACUACGUGCCAGCAGCCGCCGUAA
Molecule: ribosomal RNA, 515 nt
Filed under: uncultured bacterium
Lineage: Bacteria
Description: partial 16S ribosomal RNA
Rfam family: Bacterial small subunit ribosomal RNA
Source: RNAcentral